GGGCCGCACGCGCGCUACACUGACGGAGCCAGCGAGUUUACCUUAGCCGAGAGGUUUGGGAAAUCUUGAGAAACUCCGUCGUGCUGGGGAUAGAGCAUUGUAAUUUUUGCUCUUCAACGAGGAAUUCCUAGUAAGCGCAAGUCAUCAGCUUGCGUUGAUUACGUCCC
RNAcentral lists this ribosomal RNA (167 nucleotides) under Metschnikowia australis. RNAcentral describes it as "partial 18S rRNA". It matches the Rfam family "Eukaryotic small subunit ribosomal RNA", at positions 1484 to 1653 of the family's 1831-position model. The record is from RNAcentral. Lineage: Eukaryota; Fungi; Ascomycota; Pichiomycetes; Serinales; Metschnikowiaceae. RNAcentral also lists the same sequence under 4 other names.